RNAcentral lists this ribosomal RNA (440 nucleotides) under uncultured bacterium. RNAcentral describes it as "partial 16S ribosomal RNA". It matches the Rfam family "Bacterial small subunit ribosomal RNA", at positions 338 to 795 of the family's 1533-position model. The record is from RNAcentral.
CCUACGGGGCGCAGCAGUAGGGAAUAUUGCUCAAUGGGGGAAACCCUGAAGCAGCAACGCCGCGUGGAGGAUGAAGGUUUUCGGAUUGUAAACUCCUUUUGUUAGAGAAGAUAAUGACGGUAUCUAACGAAUAAGCACCGGCUAACUCCGUGCCAGCAGCCGCGGUAAUACGGAGGGUGCAAGCGUUACUCGGAAUCACUGGGCGUAAAGCGCGCGUAGGCGGGAUAGCAAGUCAGAUGUGAAAUCCUAUGGCUUAACCAUAGAACUGCAUUUGAAACUGUUAUUCUAGAGUAUGGGAGAGGUAGGUGGAAUUCUUGGUGUAGGGGUAAAAUCCGUAGAGAUCAAGAGGAAUACUCAUUGCGAAGGCGACCUGCUAGAACAUAACUGACGCUGAUGCGCGAAAGCGUGGGGAGCAAACAGGAUUAGAUACCCCGGUAGUC